This 343-nucleotide unclassified non-coding RNA is filed under the name soil metagenome. RNAcentral's name for it is "partial contains 5.8S ribosomal RNA, internal transcribed spacer 2, and large subunit ribosomal RNA". The stretch from base 1 to 120 matches the Rfam family "5.8S ribosomal RNA", at positions 35 to 154 of the family's 154-position model. The record is from RNAcentral.
GAUGAAGAACGCAGCGAAACGCGAUAAGUAAUGUGAAUUGCAGAAUCCAGUGAAUCAUCGAAUCUUUGAACGCACAUUGCGCCCGCCAGCAUUCUGGCGGGCAUGCCUGUUCGAGCGUCAUUUCAACCCUCGACCUCCCCUUGGGGAGGUCGGCGUUGGGGACCGGCAGCACACCGCCGGCCCUGAAAUAGAGUGGCGGCCCGUCCGCGGCGACCUCUGCGCAGUAAUACAGCUCGCACCGGGACCCCGACGCGGCCACGCCGUAAAACACCCAACUUCUGAACGUUGACCUCGAAUCAGGUAGGACUACCCGCUGAACUUAAGCAUAUCAAUAAGCGGAGGA